This 163-nucleotide small nuclear RNA is filed under the name Papio anubis (olive baboon). RNAcentral's name for it is "U1 spliceosomal RNA (ENSPANG00000018004.3)". It matches the Rfam family "U1 spliceosomal RNA". Rfam says of the family: U1 is a small nuclear RNA (snRNA) component of the spliceosome (involved in pre-mRNA splicing). The record is from Rfam by way of RNAcentral. Lineage: Eukaryota; Metazoa; Chordata; Mammalia; Primates; Cercopithecidae.
AUACUUACUGGCAGGGGAGAUACCAUGAUCAUGAAGGUGGUUUUCCCAGCAUGAGGCUCAUCCAUUGCACUCCAGAUGUGCUGACCCCUGCAAUUUCCCCAAAUGUGGGAAAUUCAACCGCAUAAUUUGUGGUAGUGGGGGACUGUGUUUGCGCUUUCCCCUG